UCAAUCAUUCGUUGCGAACCAAAGCUUCUCUCCCAGAUUGAUUCUACAUCUUCUUCUCUCUUAUGGGCGAGUCUACAAUGAAAAACCUCUCAACCUUACCGAAUCAACAGAAACCCUAGAGGAAAGAAGCAGAAGCAUGAGAUCGUCGAGUCACCAUUGUUGUCGCUGGUCUCAGGCAAGGGGAAAGAAGCGAAGUCGUUUGAGAAAGACUUGAUGGAGAUGCAAGCGAUGUUGGAGAAGAUGAAGAUCGAGAAGGAUAAAACCAAGGAUUUGCUAAAUGAGAAAGAUGACAUCCUGAGGAAGAAGAAAGAGGAACUUGAGACAAAGGACGUGGAACAGAAGAAGCUUAAGGUGAAGUUGAAAAUCUGCAGAAGAUGAAGGAAUUCAAGCCCAACUUGACUUUCGCUUUUAGUCAAUCUUUGGCACAACGUGAUGAGAGAACAAACAUGGAUGGUCAGAUGGACGCCUAUUUAUUGAUGUCAUCCAACGGAAUCUGUCAAUUCAUCUGCAAAGAUGGAUAUAGUGCUCAUACACUAUAUACGUUUUUUGUUAUCUUUUGGAUUAGUGGAUAUUUUUUGUAAGACUUAUUAAAGAACGAGUCAAAUUAUAUACACGUAGAAGACAUGCAACCAUUUCUCAAUUUUUUUCA
This is a long non-coding RNA of Arabidopsis lyrata subsp. lyrata, 649 nucleotides long. RefSeq lists it as uncharacterized. The record is from RefSeq and is a predicted model, not a curated record. The transcript has 2 exons. NCBI's taxonomy places the organism in Eukaryota, Viridiplantae, Streptophyta, Magnoliopsida, Brassicales, Brassicaceae.